RNAcentral lists this ribosomal RNA (415 nucleotides) under uncultured bacterium. RNAcentral describes it as "bacterial SSU rRNA". It matches the Rfam family "Bacterial small subunit ribosomal RNA", at positions 358 to 770 of the family's 1533-position model. The record is from RNAcentral.
GGAAUAUUGGACAAUGGGCGAAAGCCUGAUCCAGCCAUGCCGCGUGCAGGAAGACGGCCCUCUGGGUUGUAAACUGCUUUUAUACGGGAAUAAACCCCUCGACGUGUCCAGGGCCGACGGUACCGUACGAAUAAGCACCGGCCACAUCCGUGCCAGCAGCCGCGGUAAAACGGAGGGUGCAAGCGUUAUCCGGAUUUAUUGGGUUUAAAGGGUCCGUAGGCGGAAAAUUAAGUCAGAGGUGAAAUCCUGCAGCUCAACUGUAGAAUUGCCUUUGAUACUGGUUUUCUUGAAUAUGUACGAAGUGGGCGGAAUGUGUCAUGUAGCGGUGAAAUGCUUAGAUAUGACACAGAACACCGAUUGCGAAGGCAGCUCACUAGUCCAUUAUUGACGCUGAGGGACGAAAGCGUGGGGAGCG